This 221-nucleotide ribosomal RNA is filed under the name Anemonia viridis. Its description in RNAcentral is "partial 28S ribosomal RNA". It matches the Rfam family "Eukaryotic large subunit ribosomal RNA", at positions 44 to 260 of the family's 3401-position model. Lineage: Eukaryota; Metazoa; Cnidaria; Anthozoa; Actiniaria; Actiniidae. The record is from RNAcentral.
UAAUAAGCGGAGGAAAAGAAACUAACAAGGAUUCCCCCAGUAAUGGCGAAUGAAGCGGGAACAGCUCAAAUUUGAAAUCUCCGUCGCCUGCGACGCGAAUUGUAGUUUCUAGAAGCACUUUCUAGGCGCUACCGGCGUCGUCCAAGUUGCUUGGAACAGCACGUCAUAGAGGGUGACAACCCCGUCUGUGGCGGUGCCGGCCGCCGACGAUGCGCUUUCGA